This 487-nucleotide ribosomal RNA is filed under the name uncultured bacterium. RNAcentral describes it as "partial 16S ribosomal RNA". It matches the Rfam family "Bacterial small subunit ribosomal RNA", at positions 28 to 507 of the family's 1533-position model. The record is from RNAcentral.
GAUGAACGCUAGCGAUAGGCUUAACACAUGCAAGUCGAGGGGCAGCACAAGGUAGCUUGCUAUCUGGGUGGCGACCGGCGCACGGGUGCGUAACGCGUAUGCAACUUGCCCUAUACAGGAGGAUAACCCGUCGAAAGACGAACUAAUACUGCGUAUGCUCACAACUUGGCAUCAAGUGGUGAGGAAAGAAAUUCGGUAUAGGAUAGGCAUGCGUCCCAUUAGCUUGUUGGUGAGGUAACGGCUCACCAAGGCAACGAUGGGUAGGGGAACUGAGAGGUUUAUCCCCCACACUGGUACUGAGACACGGACCAGACUCCUACGGGAGGCAGCAGUGAGGAAUAUUGGUCAAUGGGCGCGAGCCUGAACCAGCCAAGUCGCGUGAAGGAUGACUGUCUUAUGGAUUGUAAACUUCUUUUAUACGGGAAUAACAAGAGUCACGUGUGACUCCCUGCAUGUACCGUAUGAAUAAGCAUCGGCUAACUCCGUG